GAAAGUUGAACUCCUAACGCCGCCACCAAAGAAAGACGGCCCCGCCGCUGAGAAACCGGCGGAGAAGAAAUCCGACGAGAAAAAACCUGAAGAGAAGAAAGCUGAAGAGAAAAAACCUGAAGAAAAAAAGCCUAAAGAGGUAAUUUAAUUUUUAAAUUAUUUAUUUAAUUCUUAAUUUUCUUCAUAUGCUUAAUUUCACUAACCGACUUUGUAUUAAUUAAUUUAUUUCAGAGUACGGUGGUUUUGAAGAUCAGAUUGCACUGUGACGGUUGCAUUACGAAAAUUAAAAAAAUCAUUAUGAAGUUCAAAGGUGAGAUAGUUGACCCUAAUUUCUAAAUUGUUUAUAAAAUUUAGUAUAAAAAAAAAAUUGUUUAUAACAUUUAAAAGAAGAGAAUACUCUUUAUUAUUAUAUUUUUUGGAUAACUUAUUUAUCUAAUAUAGAUUAUAUAUGUGGAUUAUUAUUUAACGAACUUAUUUUUUUUUAGGAACAAUAUCUUAUUGUUUUGAUUUGAUUAAUUGUUAAUUCGGUGGCUAAUUAAGGAUAAUGUUAUUGUUGUUUAACAGGGGUUGAAACGGUGAAAUUUGACGGAGACAAGGAUUUAGUAACAGUGAAAGGAACAAUGGAACCGAAGGAUUUGAUAGAGUAUCUGAAAGAGAAACUGAAGAGAAACGUUGAUAUGGUUCCACCAAAGAAAGAAGAAGAGAAGAAAGAAAAAGAUGGUGGUGGCGAAAAGAAAGAGAAAGACGGUGGAGGUGAAAAGAAAGAGAAAAAAGAUGGUGAGAAGAAAGUGGACGGUGGAGAUCAAGCGAAGGUGGAAGUUAAUAAAAUGGAGUAUCAGUACCCGAUGCAGUCUCCAAUGUAUUGGUA
This 868-nucleotide long non-coding RNA is filed under the name Trifolium pratense (red clover). Its description in RNAcentral is "long non-coding RNA (TPRA_LNC011791)". Lineage: Eukaryota; Viridiplantae; Streptophyta; Magnoliopsida; Fabales; Fabaceae. The record is from RNAcentral.